Molecule: ribosomal RNA, 253 nt
Filed under: uncultured bacterium
Lineage: Bacteria
Description: partial 16S ribosomal RNA
Rfam family: Bacterial small subunit ribosomal RNA
Source: RNAcentral
UACGUAGGGGGCGAGCGUUGUCCGGAUUUAUUGGGCGUAAAGAGCGUGUAGGCGGUUCGGUAAGUCUGUCGUGAAAUCCUGAGGCUCAACCUCGGGCGUGCGAUGGAUACUGCCGGGCUAGAGGAUGGUAGAGGCGAGUGGAAUUCCCGGUGUAGCGGUGAAAUGCGUAGAUAUCUGGAGGAAUACCGGUGGCGAAGGCGGCAUCCUGGACCAUUACUGACGCUGAGGCGCGAAAGCUAGGGGAGCAAACGGG